UACGGAGGGUGCGAGCGUUGUCCGGAUUUAUUGGGCGUAAAGGGCGCGUAGGCGGUUACGCACGUCCGUUGUGAAAUCGCUCGGCUCAACUGGGCGGGGUCAGCGGAUACGGCGUGGCUGGAGCAAGCUAGGGGGCAAUGGAAUUCCCGGUGUAGUGGUGGAAUGCGUAGAUAUCGGGAGGAACACCAGUGGCGAAGGCGGUUGCCUGGAGCUUUGCUGACGCUGAUGCGCGAAAGCGUGGGGAGCGAUCCGG
Molecule: ribosomal RNA, 253 nt
Filed under: uncultured bacterium
Lineage: Bacteria
Description: partial 16S ribosomal RNA
Rfam family: Bacterial small subunit ribosomal RNA
Source: RNAcentral